CUGUAGCCAAUUAAGCCAACCAUCUCCCUCUCCUUUGUGGGGGACGGCUGUGAAGUGGCUGCAGACAGCAGCCUCCUUGGAUAGUGGAUGCAGACUGUUGAGACCUUGGAGACAGCC
Molecule: small nucleolar RNA, 117 nt
Filed under: Choloepus hoffmanni (Hoffmann's two-fingered sloth)
Lineage: Eukaryota; Metazoa; Chordata; Mammalia; Pilosa; Megalonychidae
Description: Small nucleolar RNA SNORA70 (ENSCHOG00000015736.1)
Rfam family: Small nucleolar RNA SNORA70
About the family: snoRNA U70 seems to be exclusive to mammals and is a member of the H/ACA class of snoRNA which contain H (ANANNA) and ACA box motifs. H/ACA box snoRNAs are involved in the conversion of uridines to pseudouridines (5-ribosyluracil) a constituent of structural RNAs (transfer, ribosomal, small nuclear, and small nucleolar).
Source: RNAcentral